GGGGAUAACACUUGGAAACAGGUGCUAAUACCGUAUAACACUAUUUUCCGCAUGGAAGAAAGUUGAAAGGCGCUUUUGCGCCACUGAUGGAUGGACCCGCGGUGCAUUAGCUAGUUGGUGAGGUAACGGCUCACCAAGGCCACGAUGCAUAGCCGGCCUGAGAGGGUGAUCGGCCACACUGGGACUGAGACACGGCCCAGACUCCUACGGGAGGCAGCAGUAGGGAAUCUUCGGCAAUGGACGAAAGUCUGACCGAGCAACGCCGCGUGAGUGAAGAAGGUUUUCGGAUCGUAAAACUCUGUUGUUAGAGAAGAACAAGGAUGAGAGUAAAACGUUCAUCCCUUGACGGUAUCUAACCAGAAAGCCACGGCUAACUACGUGCCAGCAGCCGCGGUAAUACGUAGGUGGCAAGCGUUGUCCGGAUUUAUUGGGCGUAAAGCGAGCGCAGGCGGUUUCUUAAGUCUGAUGUGAAAGCCCCCGGCUCAACCGGGGAGGGUCAUUGGAAACUGGGAGACUUGAGUGCAGAAGAGGAGAGUGGAAUUCCAUGUGUAGCGGUGAAAUGCGUAGAUAUAUGGAGGAACACCAGUGGCGAAGGCGGCUCUCUGGUCUGUAACUGACGCUGAGGCUCGAAAGCGUGGGGAGCGAACAGGAUUAGAUACCCU
RNAcentral lists this ribosomal RNA (662 nucleotides) under uncultured bacterium. Its description in RNAcentral is "bacterial SSU rRNA". It matches the Rfam family "Bacterial small subunit ribosomal RNA", at positions 139 to 788 of the family's 1533-position model. The record is from RNAcentral.